UGGCUCUACGGGACGCAGCAGUGAGGAAUAUUGGUCAAUGGCCGGAAGGCUGAACCAGCCAAGCCGCGUGAAGGACGAAGGUGCCAAGCAUUGUAAACUUCUUUUGUCAAGGGACAAAAUCAGGCUCGAGAGCCUGACCGAGGGUACUUGAAGAAAAAGCAUCGGCUAACUCCGUGCCAGCAGCCGCGGUAAUACGGAGGAUGCGAGCGUUAUCCGGAUUUAUUGGGUUUAAAGGGUGCGUAGGCGGGCUGUUAAGUCAGCGGUAAAAGCCCGGGGCUCAACCCCGGCGAGCCGUUGAAGCUGGG
This 305-nucleotide ribosomal RNA is filed under the name uncultured bacterium. Its description in RNAcentral is "bacterial SSU rRNA". It matches the Rfam family "Bacterial small subunit ribosomal RNA", at positions 334 to 637 of the family's 1533-position model. The record is from RNAcentral.